CGGAGAGGUGUGUGAGGAGAGAGGGUACAUUAUUAAGGAGAGAGCGAGGGAGAAGAGACAUGUUAUAUGGUGACUGAUGAGAGACAUGUUAUAUGGUGACUGAUGAGUGAGAGAACAUAUCUCUGGCUCCAUUAAAAAGUCUAAUUUGUGGACCUUACCAAAACUUGUAAAUAAAGUGUGCCACGAGAUAAACCAUUAAAUGAGUGAUUGCUAUAGAAUAGCUUAUUCUGUGACCAGCCCAUCCAACACACUAGAAUGGUUACAUAUGAAGCAACAAUUAGCAUUAAUAUGGAAAAAAAUUUAAAAAUAAAAAAGUUUUUAGUCCUGGUUGGUAAUACCAAACAGGACUAAAGGAGCCACGUGCAUGCACCUGCAUGGCAGCCCCUUUAAUCCCGG
Molecule: long non-coding RNA, 396 nt
Filed under: Setaria viridis
Lineage: Eukaryota; Viridiplantae; Streptophyta; Magnoliopsida; Poales; Poaceae
Description: long non-coding RNA (SVIR_LNC008500)
Source: RNAcentral